RNAcentral lists this ribosomal RNA (497 nucleotides) under uncultured bacterium. RNAcentral's name for it is "partial 16S ribosomal RNA". It matches the Rfam family "Bacterial small subunit ribosomal RNA", at positions 28 to 507 of the family's 1533-position model. The record is from RNAcentral.
GACGAACGCUGGCGGCGUGCCUAAUACAUGCAAGUUGAGCGCUGAAGGUUGGUACUUGUACCAACUGGAUGAGCAGCGAACGGGUGAGUAACGCGUGGGGAAUCUGCCUUUGAGCGGGGGACAACAUUUGGAAACGAAUGCUAAUACCGCAUAAAAACUUUAAACACAAGUUUUAAGUUUGAAAGAUGCAAUUGCAUCACUCAAAGAUGAUCCCGCGUUGUAUUAGCUAGUUGGUGAGGUAAAGGCUCACCAAGGCGAUGAUACAUAGCCGACCUGAGAGGGUGAUCGGCCACCUUGGGACUGAGACACGGCCCAAACUCCUACGGGAGGCAGCAGUAGGGAAUCUUCGGCAAUGGACGAAAGUCUUACCGAGCAACGCCGCGGGAGGGAAGAAGGUUUUCGGAUCGUAAAACUCUGUUGGUAGAGAAGAACGUUGGUGAGAGUGGAAAGCUCAUCAAGUGACGGUAACUACCCAGAAAGGGACGGCUAACUACGUG